This 573-nucleotide ribosomal RNA is filed under the name uncultured Bacillota bacterium. RNAcentral's name for it is "bacterial SSU rRNA". It matches the Rfam family "Bacterial small subunit ribosomal RNA", at positions 168 to 745 of the family's 1533-position model. Lineage: Bacteria; Bacillati; Bacillota. The record is from RNAcentral.
ACCGGAUAGGACGAAAGUUUAAAGGUGCUUCGGCACCACUGAUGGAUGAGCCUGCGGCGCAUUAGCUAGUUGGUAGGGUAAAGGCCUACCAAGGCGACGAUGCGUAGCCGACCUGAGAGGGUGAACGGCCACACUGGGACUGAGACACGGCCCAGACUCCUACGGGAGGCAGCAGUAGGGAAUCUUCGGCAAUGGGCGAAAGCCUGACCGAGCAACGCCGCGUGAAUGAUGAAGGCCUUCGGGUUGUAAAAUUCUGUUAUAAGGGAAGAAUGGCUCUAGUAGGAAAUGGCUAGAGUGUGACGGUACCUUAUGAGAAAGCCACGGCUAACUACGUGCCAGCAGCCGCGGUAAUACGUAGGUGGCGAGCGUUAUCCGGAAUUAUUGGGCGUAAAGAGCGCGCAGGUGGUUGAUUAAGUCUGAUGUGAAAGCCCACGGCUUAACCGUGGAGGGUCAUUGGAAACUGGUCAACUUGAGUGCAGAAGAGGGAAGUGGAAUUCCAUGUGUAGCGGUGAAAUGCGUAGAGAUAUGGAGGAACACCAGUGGCGAAGGCGGCUUCCUGGUCUGUAACUGACA